RNAcentral lists this ribosomal RNA (1301 nucleotides) under Anaerolineaceae bacterium. RNAcentral's name for it is "bacterial LSU rRNA". It matches the Rfam family "Bacterial large subunit ribosomal RNA", at positions 1635 to 2925 of the family's 2925-position model. The record is from RNAcentral. Lineage: Bacteria; Bacillati; Chloroflexota; Anaerolineae; Anaerolineales; Anaerolineaceae.
GUGGUGUCCGUACCGCAAACCGACACUGGUAGACGGGUAGAGAAUACCAAGGGCGAACGGAGAACCCUUGUUAAGGAACUAGGCAACAUGGCCCCGUAACUUCGGGAGAAGGGGUGCCUUUAAGCGUGAAGUAUGUACAUACCUAGCGUCUGAAGGUCGCAGUGAAUAGGCUCUGGUGACUGUUUAACAAAAACACAGGUCCCUGCUAAAGUGUAAACUGAUGUAUAGGGGCUGACGCCUGCCCAGUGCCGGAAGGUUAAGGGGAGAGGUUAGUCGCAAGACGAAGCUUUGAACUGAAGCCCCGGUGAACGGCGGCCGUAACUAUAACGGUCCUAAGGUAGCGAAAUUCCUUGUCGGGUAAGUUCCGACCCGCACGAAUGGCGUAACAACUGGAGCACUGUCUCAACAAGGGACCCGGCGAAAUUGAAGUAUCCGUGAAGAUGCGGAUUACCCGCAGCAGGACAAAAAGACCCCGUGGAGCUUUACUAUAGCUUGGCAUUGCGUUUGGGCUUGGUCUGUCCAGGAUAGGUGGGAGACUGUGAAACUGGGGCGCUAGCCUCGGCGGAGUCGCCCUUGGGAUACCACCCUGACCAAGUCUAGACCCUAACUUCAGACCGUAAUCCGGCUGGAAGACAGUGCCAGGUGGGUAGUUUGACUGGGGCGGUCGCCUCCUAAAGAGUAACGGAGGCGCCAAAGGUUCCCUCAGGCUGAAUGGAAACCAGCCAAAGAGUGUAAAGGCAUAAGGGAGCUUGACUGCAAGACCACAAGUCGCGCAGAGACGAAAGUCGGGCUUAGUGAUCCCACGGUACCGAGUGGAAGGGCCGUGGCUCAUCGGAUAAAAGCUACCCGGGGAUAACAGGCUGGUCUUGCCCAAGAGUCCAUAUCGACGGCAAGGCUCGGCACCUCGAUGUCGGCUCGUCACAUCCUGGGGCUGUACAAGGUCCCAAGGGUUGGGCUGUUCGCCCAUUAAAGUGGUACGUGAGCUGGGUUCAAACCGUCGUGAGACAGGUUGGUCUCUAUCCGCUGUGGGCGAAGGGGAUUUGAGGGGAGCUGCUCCUAGUACGAGAGGACCGGAGUGGACAGACCUCUGGUGUGUCAGUUGUCGUGCCAACGGCAUAGCUGAGUAGCCACGUCUGGCAAGGAUAACCGCUGAAAGCAUCUAGUGGGAAACCUGCCCCAAGAUGAGAUCCCCCAAGCUAUAUGCUUGUAAGACCGCAGAAAGACUAUCUGCUUGAUAGGCGUCAGGUGUACACGCAGCAAUGCGCUUAGCUUAGACGUACUAAUGGUCGAGAGGCUCACAU